RNAcentral lists this transfer RNA (72 nucleotides) under Lachnospiraceae bacterium. RNAcentral describes it as "tRNA-Lys". It matches the Rfam family "tRNA". Rfam says of the family: Transfer RNA (tRNA) molecules are approximately 80 nucleotides in length. Their secondary structure includes four short double-helical elements and three loops (D, anti-codon, and T loops). The record is from RNAcentral. Lineage: Bacteria; Bacillati; Bacillota; Clostridia; Lachnospirales; Lachnospiraceae.
GUGUCUGUCGCCUAGUGGUAUGGCACACGACUUUUAAUCGUGACAGCAUGGGUUCAAUUCCCAUCAGACACA